RNAcentral lists this ribosomal RNA (300 nucleotides) under uncultured bacterium. Its description in RNAcentral is "bacterial SSU rRNA". It matches the Rfam family "Bacterial small subunit ribosomal RNA", at positions 334 to 651 of the family's 1533-position model. The record is from RNAcentral.
GGGACCUACGGGACGCAGCAGUGGGGAAUAUUGCACAAUGGAGGGAACUCUGAUGCAGCGACGCCGCGUGAGUGAAGAAGUAAUUCGUUAUGUAAAGCUCUAUCAGCAGGGAAGAAAGUGACGGUACCUGAAAAAGAAGCUCCGGCUAAAUACGUGCCAGCAGCCGCGGUAAUACGUAUGGAGCAAGCGUUAUCCGGAUUUACUGGGUGUAAAGGGAUAGUAGGUGGCAAAGCAAGUCCGAAGUGAAAACCCAAAGCGCAACUAUGGGAAUGCUUUAGAAACUGCUCAGCUAGAUAGAAG